GAGUUUGAUCGUGGCUCAGAUUGAGCGCUGGCGGCAUGCCUUACACAUGCAAGUCGAACAGCAGCAUGAUCCAGCUUGCUAGAUUGAUGGCGAGUGGCGAACGGUGAGUAAUACAUCGGAACGUGCCCUGUAGUGGGGGAUAACUAGUCGAAAGAUUAGCUAAUACCGCAUACGACCUGAGGGUGAAAGUGGGGACCGCAAGGCCUCAUGCUAUAGGAGCGGCCGAUGUCUGAUUAGCUAGUUGGUGGGGUAAAGGCCCACCAAGGCGACGAUCAGUAGCUGGUCUGAGAGGACGAUCAGCCACACUGGGACUGAGACACGGCCCAGACUCCUACGGGAGGCAGCAGUGGGGAAUUUUGGACAAUGGGCGAAAGCCUGAUCCAGCAAUGCCGCGUGUGUGAAGAAGGCC
RNAcentral lists this ribosomal RNA (409 nucleotides) under uncultured microorganism. RNAcentral's name for it is "bacterial SSU rRNA". It matches the Rfam family "Bacterial small subunit ribosomal RNA", at positions 9 to 416 of the family's 1533-position model. The record is from RNAcentral.